GGGUGCAACCAUUCCAGCAUUAAUGCACCCGAUCCCAUCAGAACAUCGCAGUGAAGCAUGCUUGGGCGAGAGUAGUACUGGGAUGGGUGACAUCCUGGGUAGUCCUCGUGUUCCACCCU
RNAcentral lists this ribosomal RNA (119 nucleotides) under Beta vulgaris subsp. vulgaris (sugar beet). Lineage: Eukaryota; Viridiplantae; Streptophyta; Magnoliopsida; Caryophyllales; Amaranthaceae. The record is from RNAcentral.